RNAcentral lists this ribosomal RNA (464 nucleotides) under uncultured bacterium. RNAcentral's name for it is "partial 16S ribosomal RNA". It matches the Rfam family "Bacterial small subunit ribosomal RNA", at positions 338 to 795 of the family's 1533-position model. The record is from RNAcentral.
CCUACGGGGUGCAGCAGUAGGGAAUUUUCGUCAAUGGGCGCAAGCCUGAACGAGCAAUGCCGCGUGAACGAGGAAGGUCUUCGGAUCGUAAAGUUCUGUUGAAGGGGAAAAAGAGCGGAGAGAGGAAAUGGUCUCCGAUUGAUAUUACCCUUCGAGGAAGUCACGGCUAACUACGUGCCAGCAGCCGCGGUAAUACGUAGGUGGCGAGCGUUAUCCGGAAUGAUUGGGCGUAAAGGGUGCGUAGGCGGCCUGCUAAGUCUGGAGUGAAAGGCUACGGCUCAACCGUAGUAAGCCUUUGAAACUGGGGAACUUGAGUGCAGGAGAGGAGAGUGGAAUUCCUAGUGUAGCGGUGAAAUGCGUAGAUAUUAGGAGGAACACCAGUUGUGAAGGCGGCUCUCUGGACUGUAACUGACACUGAGGCACGAAAGCGUGGGGAGCAAACAGGAUUAGAUACCCUUGUAGUC